Molecule: ribosomal RNA, 521 nt
Filed under: uncultured bacterium
Lineage: Bacteria
Description: partial 16S ribosomal RNA
Rfam family: Bacterial small subunit ribosomal RNA
Source: RNAcentral
AAUGAACGCUGGCGGCGUGCUUAACACAUGCAAGUCGUACGAGAAACCCCGGCUUGCCGGGGGAGUAAAGUGGCGCACGGGUGAGUAACGCGUGGGUAAUCUACGCUCGAAUUGGGGAUAACACACCGAAUGGUGUGCUAAUACCGAAUAAGACCACGACCUCCACGGGGGUUGCGGUCAAAGAUGGCCUCUGCUUGCAAGCUGUCGUUUGCGGAUGCGCCCGCGUACCAUUAGCUUGUGGGUGGGGUAAAGGCCUACCAAGGCAACGAUGGUUAGCUGGUCUGAGAGGAGGGUCAGCCACACUGGAACUGGAACACGGUCCAAACUCCUACGGGAGGCAGCAGUGAGGAAUUUUGCGCAAUGGGGGAAACCCUGACGCAGCAACGCCGCGUGAGUGAAGAAGGCCUUCGGGUUGUAAAGCUCUGUCAAGUGGGAAGAACCUUUUUCGGCCGAAUACGCCGAGAAACUGACGGUACCGCUGAAGGAAGCACCGGCUAACUCCGUGCCAGCCGCCGCAGUAA